GCUCAGAUUGAACGCUGGCGGCGUGCUUAACACAUGCAAGUCGAACGAAGAUACUUAAAAUGAGAGCUUCGGCAGGAAUUUUAUUUAUCUUAGUGGCGGACGGGUGAGUAACGUGUGGGCAACCUGCCCUAUACUGGGGAAUAAUCACUGGAAACGGUGACUAAUACCGCAUGUCAUUACGGAAGGGCAUCCUUCUGUAAGAAAAGGAGUAAUUCGGUAUAGGAUGGGCCCGCAUCUGAUUAGCUAGUUGGUGAGAUAACAGCCCACCAAGGCGACGAUCAGUAGCCGACCUGAGAGGGUGAUCGGCCACAUUGGGACUGAGACACGGCCCAAACUCCUACGGGAGGCAGCAGUA
This 355-nucleotide ribosomal RNA is filed under the name uncultured bacterium. RNAcentral describes it as "bacterial SSU rRNA". It matches the Rfam family "Bacterial small subunit ribosomal RNA", at positions 22 to 356 of the family's 1533-position model. The record is from RNAcentral.